CCCUUAGACGUUCUGGGCCGCACGCGCGCUACAAUGAUGUAUCCAAUUAGAUAGCCAAAUGAGAUAUCAAUAAGGAAAGCAAUUAGUCUUCAUCGUGGCUGGGAUAGAUCCUUGGAAUUUUUGAUCUUUAACGGGGAGUGUCUUGUAAGCAUGAGUUAUCAUCUGAUGCUGAAUACGUCCCUGCCCUUUGUACACACCGCCCGUCGCUCCAUCUGAUUGGGUGUGCAGGUGAAACUGGUCUUAUAUGUAAACAAUUCGUUUAAAGAGCAAGUGAACAGGCCCACUAAGAAGAAGGAGAAGGCGUAACA
RNAcentral lists this ribosomal RNA (308 nucleotides) under uncultured eukaryote. Its description in RNAcentral is "partial 18S ribosomal RNA". It matches the Rfam family "Eukaryotic small subunit ribosomal RNA", at positions 1470 to 1796 of the family's 1831-position model. The record is from RNAcentral.